RNAcentral lists this ribosomal RNA (776 nucleotides) under uncultured Neocallimastigales. Its description in RNAcentral is "partial large subunit ribosomal RNA". It matches the Rfam family "Eukaryotic large subunit ribosomal RNA", at positions 26 to 644 of the family's 3401-position model. The record is from RNAcentral. Lineage: Eukaryota; Fungi; Neocallimastigomycota; Neocallimastigomycetes; Neocallimastigales.
CGCAUCUGUGCAUGCAGCAUAUCAAUAAGCGGAGGAAAAGAAACUAACAAGGAUUCCCCUAGUAACGGCGAGUGAAGCGGGAAGAGCUCAAAUUUGAAAUCUUAAAGGGUUUCCCUUUACGAAUUGUAGUUUAAAGAAGUGUUUUCUGUUGAGGUUUUGGUAAAAGUUCUUUGGAAUAGGACAUCAUAGAGGGUGAGAAUCCCGUAUUUGACCUUUACUUUCAACUUUGUGAUACACUUUCAAAGAGUCGGAUUGUUUGGGAAUGCAGUCCAAAAUGGGUGGUAAAUUUCAUCUAAAGCUAAAUAUUGGCGAGAGACCGAUAGCGAACAAGUACCGUGAGGGAAAGAUGAAAAGAACUUUGAAAAGAGAGUUAAACAGGUACGUGAAAUUGUCAAAAGGGAAGCGUUUGACACCAGUGUUGUUUUUCUGAAAAUCAAUUAAAGAACUGUUUAUGCUAAGUUGUUUAGACUUUAUCAGCUAAUCUGCUUAGUUUUGAGCUUUUCUUUAAUGCACUUUUCAGUUAACAAGUCAACAUCAAUUUCUUUUGCUGUAAAAAAGCUUGAGGAAGGUGGCUUGAGAUUCGUCUUAAGUGUUUAUAGCCUCUUGCCUAUGCAGUCGGAGAGAUUGAGGUCUGCAGCGUAGAUCCUUCGGGGCUAAAUGCAUUUGUGCUAAGUUAUAGCAUUUUAUAGACAACUUGUUGACUAUGAUUUGUCUUGUAGCUUACUCGCUUAUGUUAUUUUACCUACGCUUAGGAUGUUGAAUCUGUGCGAGACUAC